This 441-nucleotide ribosomal RNA is filed under the name uncultured bacterium. RNAcentral describes it as "partial 16S ribosomal RNA". It matches the Rfam family "Bacterial small subunit ribosomal RNA", at positions 339 to 795 of the family's 1533-position model. The record is from RNAcentral.
CUACGGGUUGCUCCAGUAGGGAAUCUUCCGCAAUGGACGAAAGUCUGACGGAGCGACACCGCGUGAAGGAUGAAGCAUUUCGGUGUGUAAACUUCUUUUCUGGGGGAAGAAAAUCUGACGGUACCCCAGGAAUAAGGACCGGCUAAUCACGUGCCAGCAGCCGCGGUAAUACGUGAGGUCCAAACGUUAUCCGGAAUUAUUGGGCGUAAAGCGUCCGCAGGUGGUGAAAAAAGUCUGUCAUUAAAUACCAGAGCUCAACUUUGGUGCUGUGAUGGAAACUUUUUCGCUAGAGGAUGGGAGAGGUAUAUGGAAUUGUGCGAGUAGGGGUAAAAUCCGUAGAUAUGCACAGGAACACCAAAAGCGAAGGCAGUAUACUGGACCAUUCCUGACACUCAGGGACGAAAGCGUGGGGAGCAAAAGGGAUUAGAUACCCCUGUAGUC